UGUUGUUUAAUUAAAUAAAAUUUACCAGAUUGAAUUUAGUAAAAUGCCUAAUCUAAAGACUAAUUAAUCAUAUAAAUAAAAGUCCGUUCUGCGUUUUGCUGGUUUAAUUGAAAUCUUUUCAGCCAGCCCUCGCAUAUCAUAUGGGAAACGGACAUAUGCAUAGGAGUAUUUGUGAUUGUUUAGAAUUUUGAGCGGAAAAACAAUUUUGACAACGUUUUAUGUGUCUAACGAGGUCGCUCAAUUUGAUGAGAUCCAAGGCCCGAUGAAUUAUGCAUGCAAAAAACAAAACUAACUGCGGGCGGACAGCGCAGGGACGGGGAUAAAGAAGCAACCAUUCAUUCACAAGGACUCACACACACACACAUACAGUGAGAAAUCGACAAAUGAGCCCAUAAAGCUGGCUAAAACAGAAACAGACGCCGAAGAAGAAGCAGAAGCAGAAGCAGAAGCAGAAGCCAACGCACGGACUCAUCGUGAAAUAAAAAUUUGAUGUCACGUCAUUUGCCAGGGGCCAAGGGCGAAAGUGAUUAAAACUUAGACGCAGUGCAGCAAAAAUUAAUAAAGUUAAGUGUCAGGCGACAUAAAAAUGUCAAUCGAUGGUCAUUGCCCAUAAGACAACACAUGGCCCAAGGUCCGCCCAAUGGGAGCGGCAUUCAAAUGGACUCCCGCGAGUCGACCAACCAUUUGCGUAUCUGACAGCGGUGGCAAUUUGUUUAUCACGUUUGACGAACAUAAAUAUUGAAUUUAUUAAUUAAAGAAAUGACGCCAACGACAACGGUUGACAUCGAAUCCGACGAAAAAAGCUGAUUUUUAUGAAAAUAAAACAUUGUUUCAUAUUUUUAAGGCAAUCCAGAAGACUACCACUAGUUCGACAAUGAGAUAUCCCAUACAAAUAUAUUAUCGAACAUAUUACAAAUAUAUAUAUGUACAUGUUUUAGUCUCUAAAUAAAAGUAGUUGCUCAACAGUAAGGUCUGUUCAACUUUAUAAAAAUG
Drosophila virilis is the source of this 993-nucleotide long non-coding RNA. RefSeq lists it as uncharacterized. The record is from RefSeq and is a predicted model, not a curated record. NCBI's taxonomy places the organism in Eukaryota, Metazoa, Arthropoda, Insecta, Diptera, Drosophilidae.